GGUUAAGCGACUAAGCGUACACGGUGGAUGCCCUGGCAGUCAGAGGCGAUGAAGGGCGUGCUAAUCUGCGAUAAGCGCCGGUAAGGUGAUAUGAACCGUUAUAACCGGCGAUACCCGAAUGGGGAAACCCAGUGUGACUCGUCACACUAUCAUUAACUGAAUCCAUAGGUUAAUGAGGCGAACCGGGGGAACUGAAACAUCUAAGUACCCCGAGGAAAAGAAAUCAACCGAGAUUCCCCCAGUAGCGGCGAGCGAACGGGGAGGAGCCCAGAGCCUGAAUCAGCAUGUGUGUUAGUGGAAGCGUCUGGAAAGGCGCGCGAUACAGGGUGACAGCCCCGUACACAAAAGCGCAUGUGCUGUGAGCUCGAUGAGUAGGGCGGGACACGUGGUAUCCUGUCUGAAUAUGGGGGGACCAUCCUCCAAGGCUAAAUACUCCUGACUGACCGAUAGUGAACCAGUACCGUGAGGGAAAGGCGAAAAGAACCCCGGCGAGGGGAGUGAAAAAGAACCUGAAACCGUGUACGUACAAGCAGUGGGAGCCCCACCACCAAAGCAUUUGCUGUACCGCGUUGACGGAGCGAAGCGACGUCAAACCGAUAAAACAGCAGUGUAAAGUGAGCCGCAGGGCGCUUUGCGCGACAGCGCAAAGGCAGGCGGUUUCGCGUAGCGAAAGCGAAUGCUUUGGGGUGGGGUGACUGCGUACCUUUUGUAUAAUGGGUCAGCGACUUAUAUUCUGUAGCAAGGUUAACCGAAUAGGGGAGCCGGAGGGAAACCGAGUCUUAAUUGGGCGUUAAGUUGCAGGGUAUAGACCCGAAACCCGGUGAUCUAGCCAUGGGCAGGUUGAAGGUUGGGUAACACUAACUGGAGGACCGAACCGACUAAUGUUGAAAAAUUAGCGGAUGACCUGUGGCUGGGGGUGAAAGGCCAAUCAAACCGGGAGAUAGCUGGUUCUCCCCGAAAGCUAUUUAGGUAGCGCCUCGUGAAUUCAUCUCCGGGGGUAGAGCACUGUUUCGGCUAGGGGGCCAUCCCGGCUUACCAACCCGAUGCAAACUGCGAAUACCGGAGAAUGUUAUCACGGGAGACACACGGCGGGUGCUAACGUCCGUCGUGAAGAGGGAAACAACCCAGACCGCCAGCUAAGGUCCCAAAGUCAUGGUUAAGUGGGAAACGAUGUGGGAAGGCCCAGACAGCCAGGAUGUUGGCUUAGAAGCAGCCAUCAUUUAAAGAAAGCGUAAUAGCUCACUGGUCGAGUCGGCCUGCGCGGAAGAUGUAACGGGGCUAAACCAUGCACCGAAGCUGCGGCAGCGACACUGUGUGUUGUUGGGUAGGGGAGCGUUCUGUAAGCCUGUGAAGGUGUGUCGUGAGGCAUGCUGGAGGUAUCAGAAGUGCGAAUGCUGACAUAAGUAACGAUAAAGCGGGUGAAAAGCCCGCUCGCCGGAAGACCAAGGGUUCCUGUCCAACGUUAAUCGGGGCAGGGUGAGUCGACCCCUAAGGCGAGGCCGAAAGGCGUAGUCGAUGGGAAACGGGUUAAUAUUCCCGUACUUGGUGUUACUGCGAAGGGGGGACGGAGAAGGCUAUGUUGGCCGGGCGACGGUUGUCCCGGUUUAAGCGUGUAGGUGUGUGUUCCAGGUAAAUCCGGUUCACUUUAACACUGAGGCGUGACGACGAGGCACUACGGUGCUGAAGCAACAAAUGCCCUGCUUCCAGGAAAAGCCUCUAAGCAUCAGGUAACAUCAAAUCGUACCCCAAACCGACACAGGUGGUCAGGUAGAGAAUACCAAGGCGCUUGAGAGAACUCGGGUGAAGGAACUAGGCAAAAUGGUGCCGUAACUUCGGGAGAAGGCACGCUGACACGUAGGUGAAGUGAUUUACUCAUGGAGCUGAAGUCAGUCGAAGAUACCAGCUGGCUGCAACUGUUUAUUAAAAACACAGCACUGUGCAAACACGAAAGUGGACGUAUACGGUGUGACGCCUGCCCGGUGCCGGAAGGUUAAUUGAUGGGGUCAGCGCAAGCGAAGCUCCUGAUCGAAGCCCCGGUAAACGGCGGCCGUAACUAUAACGGUCCUAAGGUAGCGAAAUUCCUUGUCGGGUAAGUUCCGACCUGCACGAAUGGCGUAAUGAUGGCCAGGCUGUCUCCACCCGAGACUCAGUGAAAUUGAACUCGCUGUGAAGAUGCAGUGUACCCGCGGCAAGACGGAAAGACCCCGUGAACCUUUACUAUAGCUUGACACUGAACAUUGAGCCUUGAUGUGUAGGAUAGGUGGGAGGCUUUGAAGUGUGGACGCCAGUCUGCAUGGAGCCGACCUUGAAAUACCACCCUUUAAUGUUUGAUGUUCUAACGUGGACCCGUUACCCGGGUUGCGGACAGUGUCUGGUGGGUAGUUUGACUGGGGCGGUCUCCUCCUAAAGAGUAACGGAGGAGCACGAAGGUUGGCUAAUCCUGGUCGGACAUCAGGAGGUUAGUGCAAUGGCAUAAGCCAGCUUGACUGCGAGCGUGACGGCGCGAGCAGGUGCGAAAGCAGGUCAUAGUGAUCCGGUGGUUCUGAAUGGAAGGGCCAUCGCUCAACGGAUAAAAGGUACUCCGGGGAUAACAGGCUGAUACCGCCCAAGAGUUCAUAUCGACGGCGGUGUUUGGCACCUCGAUGUCGGCUCAUCACAUCCUGGGGCUGAAGUAGGUCCCAAGGGUAUGGCUGUUCGCCAUUUAAAGUGGUACGCGAGCUGGGUUUAGAACGUCGUGAGACAGUUCGGUCCCUAUCUGCCGUGGGCGCUGGAGAACUGAGGGGGGCUGCUCCUAGUACGAGAGGACCGGAGUGGACGCAUCACUGGUGUUCGGGUUGUCAUGCCAAUGGCACUGCCCGGUAGCUAAAUGCGGAAGAGAUAAGUGCUGAAAGCAUCUAAGCACGAAACUUGCCCCGAGAUGAGUUCUCCCUGAGACUUAAAGUCUCCUGAAGGAACGUUGAAGACGACGACGUUGAUAGGCCGGGUGUGUAAGCGCAGCGAUGCGUUGAGCUAACCGGUACUAAUGAACCGUGAGGCUUAACCUUACAACGCCGAAG
This 3056-nucleotide ribosomal RNA is filed under the name Salmonella enterica subsp. enterica serovar Enteritidis. RNAcentral's name for it is "23S ribosomal RNA". It matches the Rfam family "Bacterial large subunit ribosomal RNA". Lineage: Bacteria; Pseudomonadati; Pseudomonadota; Gammaproteobacteria; Enterobacterales; Enterobacteriaceae. The record is from RNAcentral.